UUCAUAACACCGAGGAUUUGGUGCCAUCGAGUUUUCCACCGUUAGAUUUAAUCCUUUGAUUAUUUUUACCUGUUAGAUUAUACUAUUCAACUAACCACUCACUCAACCAUACGGGGCCCACAUCAUCCUAACCAUCCAUUUCUCAAUCCAAGGACAAAAAAAUCAAUAGCACCAAUAGCUUAGUGCUAUUGAUAGUAUUCCAGCCUAGUUAUAUAUAUAUAUA
Molecule: long non-coding RNA, 223 nt
Filed under: Ananas comosus (pineapple)
Lineage: Eukaryota; Viridiplantae; Streptophyta; Magnoliopsida; Poales; Bromeliaceae
Description: long non-coding RNA (ACOM_LNC032946)
Source: RNAcentral